UCUGUAAAAGAGAAUGUCACUGUUUACAUCCCAAUUUUCACUGUUUUAUGUCCCAAAUUUUCACCACUUAUGUUAUGGUAGUUUUUGAAGUGUAGUUUUUAGUAUAGAGCAAGAUGGUAUUCACAUAUAUUUAUUUCACUGUUAGUCUGUUAAUCUGUAAAAUAAAAUGUCACUGUUUACAUCCCAAUUUUCACUGUUUUAUGUCCCAAAUUUUCACUACUUAUGUUAUGGUAGUUUUUGAAGUGUAGUUUUUAGUAUAGAGCAAGAUGGUAUUCACAUAUAUUUAUUUCACUGUUAGUCUGUUAAUCUGUAAAAGAGAAUGUCACUUUAUAUCCCAAUUUUCACUGUUUUAUGUCCCAAAUUUUCACGACUUAUGUUAUGGUAGUUUUUGAAGUGUAGUUUUUUGUAUAGAGUGUAAGAUGGUAUUCACAUAUAUUUAUUUCACUGUUAGGCUUUCUGUUAAUCUGUAAAAUAUGUCACUGUUUAUAUUCAAAUUUUCACUGGUUAUGUUGAGUAUAUUUUUUGGGGGGUAAAUUUCGUAUACAGAUCGUCAGUUGCUGAGUAUAUGUAUUCUACUGUUAUCCCAAUUUUCACUGUUUAUGUUGAGUAUAUUUUUUGGGGGUAAAUUUCGUAUACAGAUCGUCAGUUGCUGAGUAUAUGUAUUCUACUGUUAUUCCAAUUUCCACUGUUUAUGUUGUGUAUAGUCUUUUGGGGUAAAUUUCGUAUACAGAUCGUCAGUUGCUGAGUAUAUGUAUUCUACUGUUAUUUCAAUUUUCACUGGUUGUGUUGAGUAUAGUUUUGGGGGUAAAUUUCGUAUACAGAUCGUCAGUUGCUGAGUAUAUGUAUUCUACUGUUAUUCCAAUUUUCACUGGUUGUGUUGAGUAUAGUUUUUUGGGGGUAAAUUUCGUAUACAGAUCGUCAGUUGCUGAGUAUAUGCAUUCUACUGUUAUUCCAAUUUCCACUGGUUAUGUUGUGUAUAGUUUUUUGGGGGUAAAUUUCGUAUACAGAUCGUCAGUUGCUGAGUAUAUGUAUUCUACUGUUAUCCCAAUUUUCACUGUUUAUGUUGUGUAUAGUUUUUGGGGGGUAAAUUUCGUAUACAGAUCGUCA
Molecule: long non-coding RNA, 1107 nt
Organism: Eriocheir sinensis (Chinese mitten crab)
Lineage: Eukaryota; Metazoa; Arthropoda; Malacostraca; Decapoda; Varunidae
Exons: 3
Source: RefSeq, a predicted model, not a curated record